RNAcentral lists this unclassified non-coding RNA (191 nucleotides) under uncultured fungus. Its description in RNAcentral is "sequence contains ITS1". The record is from RNAcentral. Lineage: Eukaryota; Fungi.
AUACACCCCGCGCAGCAACAUUGUUACAUGUUUGCGUUGGGGAAACGAUGUGUGACACCCAGGCAGGCGUGCCCUCGGCCUAAUGGCUUCGGGCGCAACUUGCGUUCAAAGACUCGAUGGUUCACGGGAUUCUGCAAUUCACACCAAGUAUCGCAUUUCGCUGCGUUCUUCAUCGAUGCGUCCUUGAUAGG